CAGCCCUAAACGAUGCGCGUUAGGUGUAUCGGUGACCACGAGUCACCGAGGUGCCGAAGGGAAACCGUGAAACGUGCCGCCUGGGAAGUACGGUCGCAAGGCUGAAACUUAAAGGAAUUGGGCGGGGGAGCACCACAACGGGUGGAGCCUGCGGUUUAAUUGGACUCAACGCCGGGAAGCUCACCGGAUAAGACAGCGGAAUGAUUGCCGGGCUGAAGACCCUGCAUGAACCAGCUGAGAGGAGGUGCAUGGCGUAGUCGUGU
Molecule: ribosomal RNA, 263 nt
Filed under: uncultured archaeon
Lineage: Archaea
Description: partial 16S ribosomal RNA
Rfam family: Archaeal small subunit ribosomal RNA
Source: RNAcentral